RNAcentral lists this ribosomal RNA (248 nucleotides) under uncultured Staphylococcus sp. Its description in RNAcentral is "partial 16S ribosomal RNA". It matches the Rfam family "Bacterial small subunit ribosomal RNA", at positions 92 to 334 of the family's 1533-position model. The record is from RNAcentral. Lineage: Bacteria; Bacillati; Bacillota; Bacilli; Caryophanales; Staphylococcaceae.
UUAGCGGCGGACGGGUGAGUAACACGUGGAUAACCUACCUAUAAGACUGGGAUAACUUCGGGAAACCGGAGCUAAUACCGGAUAAUAUUUUGAACCGCAUGGUUCAAAAGUAAAAGACGGUCUUGCUGUCACUUAUAGAUGGAUCCGCGCCGCAUUAGCUAGUUGGUAAGGUAACGGCUUACCAAGGCAACGAUGCGUAGCCGACCUGAGAGGGUGAUCGGCCACACUGGAACUGAGACACGGUCCAG